Molecule: long non-coding RNA, 580 nt
Organism: Magnolia sinica
Lineage: Eukaryota; Viridiplantae; Streptophyta; Magnoliopsida; Magnoliales; Magnoliaceae
Exons: 3
Source: RefSeq, a predicted model, not a curated record
ACUUAUAUUAUUGUGAUGUUGUUUAUUUUUACUUUUUUUUGUUUGGAUAAUUUUUAGAUGUUGAUGUACUUCUAUAUAUGCGUAUUAUAUACCGUAUGUGACUGAUGUGAUCUUUGACUAUACAUGUUUGUUAACAUCUUCGGUAUAUAUACUCACAUGCUUGCAUAAUGCUCUGAAAGAAGGAACGAACCACACACUUGAUUUACCAGAGGAAGGAUGGGUAAAGAUAAGUACUAUGUUGUGCUCGUUGGACGUCAUCCAGGAAUAUAUGUCACAUAGGACGAUGCUCGAGUAGAGGUGAAGGACUUCAGUGGGGACAGACACCGAGCCUUUCGGAAUUAGAAGGAUGUUGUGGCUUACAGGGAAAAUUAUUUCGGUAUCCCAGACCAACAAGGAAGUGGUGGAGAAGUCCAUGUCAACUGAUGAUCUUGCCACAUCGGAUGGCGAGAGAGUCGUCUCCAUUUUGAUUAGCGUGUUGGCUAUUUUCUUUGCGUUGCUUAUAAUUUUAAAAUUUUAGAUAGUAUUGAUGUGGUAACUUCGAGGAUAUUUCUGUUGGAUAUUUGUGUUUUUUUGUGGUCAU